ACCAUCCUCCAAGGCUAAAUACUCCUGACUGACCGAUAGUGAACCAGUACCGUGAGGGAAAGGCGAAAAGAACCCCGGCGAGGGGAGUGAAAAAGAACCUGAAACCGUGUACGUACAAGCAGUGGGAGCACCCUUCGGGGUGUGACUGCGUACCUUUUGUAUAAUGGGUCAGCGACUUAUAUUCUGUAGCAAGGUUAACCGAAUAGGGGAGCCGGAGGGAAACCGAGUCUUAAUUGGGCGUUAAGUUGCAGGGUAUAGACCCGAAACCCGGUGAUCUAGCCAUGGGCAGGUUGAAGGUUGGGUAACACUAACUGGAGGACCGAACCGACUAAUGUUGAAAAAUUAGCGGAUGACCUGUGGCUGGGGGUGAAAGGCCAAUCAAACCGGGAGAUAGCUGGUUCUCCCCGAAAGCUAUUUAGGUAGCGCCUCGUGAAUUCAUCUCCGGGGGUAGAGCACUGUUUCGGCUAGGGGGCCAUCCCGGCUUACCAACCCGAUGCAAACUGCGAAUACCGGAGAAUGUUAUCACGGGAGACACACGGCGGGUGCUAACGUCCGUCGUGAAGAGGGAAACAACCCAGACCGCCAGCUAAGGUCCCAAAGUCAUGGUUAAGUGGGAAACGAUGUGGGAAGGCCCAGACAGCCAGGAUGUUGGCUUAGAAGCAGCCAUCAUUUAAAGAAAGCGUAAUAGCUCACUGGUCGAGUCGGCCUGCGCGGAAGAUGUAACGGGGCUAAACCAUGCACCGAAGCUGCGGCAGCGACACUGUGUGUUGUUGGGUAGGGGAGCGUUCUGUAAGCCUGUGAAGGUGUGUCGUGAGGCAUGCUGGAGGUAUCAGAAGUGCGAAUGCUGACAUAAGUAACGAUAAAGCGGGUGAAAAGCCCGCUCGCCGGAAGACCAAGGGUUCCUGUCCAACGUUAAUCGGGGCAGGGUGAGUCGACCCCUAAGGCGAGGCCGAAAGGCGUAGUCGAUGGGAAACGGGUUAAUAUUCCCGUACUUGGUGUUACUGCGAAGGGGGGACGGAGAAGGCUAUGUUGGCCGGGCGACGGUUGUCCCGGUUUAAGCGUGUAGGUGUGUGUUCCAGGUAAAUCCGGUUCACUUUAACACUGAGGCGUGACGACGAGGCACUACGGUGCUGAAGCAACAAAUGCCCUGCUUCCAGGAAAAGCCUCUAAGCAUCAGGUAACAUCAAAUCGUACCCCAAACCGACACAGGUGGUCAGGUAGAGAAUACCAAGGCGCUUGAGAGAACUCGGGUGAAGGAACUAGGCAAAAUGGUGCCGUAACUUCGGGAGAAGGCACGCUGACACGUAGGUGAAGUGAUUUACUCAUGGAGCUGAAGUCAGUCGAAGAUACCAGCUGGCUGCAACUGUUUAUUAAAAACACAGCACUGUGCAAACACGAAAGUGGACGUAUACGGUGUGACGCCUGCCCGGUGCCGGAAGGUUAAUUGAUGGGGUCAGCGCAAGCGAAGCUCCUGAUCGAAGCCCCGGUAAACGGCGGCCGUAACUAUAACGGUCCUAAGGUAGCGAAAUUCCUUGUCGGGUAAGUUCCGACCUGCACGAAUGGCGUAAUGAUGGCCAGGCUGUCUCCACCCGAGACUCAGUGAAAUUGAACUCGCUGUGAAGAUGCAGUGUACCCGCGGCAAGACGGAAAGACCCCGUGAACCUUUACUAUAGCUUGACACUGAACAUUGAGCCUUGAUGUGUAGGAUAGGUGGG
RNAcentral lists this ribosomal RNA (1715 nucleotides) under Salmonella enterica subsp. enterica serovar Stanley. RNAcentral describes it as "partial 23S ribosomal RNA". It matches the Rfam family "Bacterial large subunit ribosomal RNA", at positions 452 to 2151 of the family's 2925-position model. Lineage: Bacteria; Pseudomonadati; Pseudomonadota; Gammaproteobacteria; Enterobacterales; Enterobacteriaceae. The record is from RNAcentral.